RNAcentral lists this long non-coding RNA (4633 nucleotides) under Canis lupus familiaris (dog). Its description in RNAcentral is "lncRNA (ENSCAFG00000050129.1)". Lineage: Eukaryota; Metazoa; Chordata; Mammalia; Carnivora; Canidae. The record is from RNAcentral.
UUUUUUUUUUUUUUUUUUUUUUUUUUUGGUAUUUUGUCUGCUUCCUUCUCUCUGCUCUUCAGCAUGAUACCCCCCUACAUGCUAGGGACCUCCACACACACUCAAGUUGUCCUCUACCUGGGCCUUCCCCCCACCCCCCACCCAACCCCAGACAGGGACCUGACCUGACCUAAAGCUUCCGCACUUGCCAGUCCAGUUUAUGUCAUGCUAGGUGACAGAUUAGUUCUUUUGGUUACUUCACAGUAAGAUUAUGGACAGUCAGUAAUCACCUAAAAGCCCUCACCACCCCCUAGUGUCAGAGCAUUUGUUUUUUAGAUAGGAGAUUUUUAGAUCAAGCCACAAAGGUAUGAGCAGGAGCAGAGCUCCAGGUGGAGGAGGGGUACUUACGUGGUAUGGCUUUGGGCUCACCCCACAUCAGGUGGGGAGAUUUGCCAAGUGUGAGGAUGGUCAAGAUGAAAUCGAGGGUGAAAAUCUGGGACUGUCCCCUCACUGAGAAGAUCUAAGAGCUUCCGAUGGAGGGGGAUCCCAUCCUAUAACUCUAAUGGCUCCGUGGGCCCGAAUGAAGACUGUUAUUUUGUUUGCAUGUUUUUAUCAUGAUAAUUAAAAUGUGUUACUAGCAGAUUCAUCUCUUGCUUUCCAAGCAUGAUUUGUUCAGCUCAUACUAUUGAAAGAAAAGCCAAAAUUCAUCUACUGAAUCUAUAAGUGGGCUUGGGGCUUGGCAACAUUCUAUUUAUUUGCUAUAUAACAUUUUAUAUCUUAUGUAACUUGCUAUUAUACUUUGCUGGUCCUUGGAAAAAAAAAAAAAAAAGGUGGAUAUAUACAGAAUACCCAGGGAGAAGAGAGAUGUUUCCAAUCCCAUAGUGGUAGGUCCAAACCAUGGUGAAGAGGACAAAUAGGUAAUGUUUAUUUGUGCUACAAUAAAGACCAAUUUUCCACCUGUUAGGUUUGUAAUCAUUCUUUGAAAAAAAAAUAAUAAUAUCACUGCCAAAACAUUGCGAUACGUAAAUAGAAAGGUGGGAGAAAAAGAAAGCCAUAGUCAAAAUCUGAAACGUACAUGUCUGUUCUAAGGAAGCAAAGAUAAACUGAUCAUUUGGAAAACCCGACACAAAGGCACUUAACAAAUCUGUUUAAAUACCUAGAUUGGAUAGCUCUUCUCAUCCCUCUGCAUUUGUAUAAAAUAAAUAUUUCUGAUUUGGACCUUUGAAGCACCACAUCACAGAGUUAUUAUAUGAAACCAAAGCUCCAUUCGUAUGUAAACACCGUGAUGCUGUGCUCUUGAGAUAGGAUUACAGAGAAACAAGUUUGAGUAUUUAAGCCUCAUCCUAAACCAUAGGAGUAUACGUGUGUUGUGUGUACACACACACAAAAAAACCGGUGCGGGUGCAUGGUGUGUUUAUUAAUACUAAUGAUAUUAUAAUCUAUCCUCUCUUAGAACAACAUCCAUCCAGUACCUUGCCCACUGCUUAGAGUUAUGCAAAUAUAUGUUUUUCAAUGAUCACAAAACGAGAUCCCUGUUAUCCGGAACUCUAAUUUUAGUUGGUAUGCGUGAUAGCACAAACUGUACAAAAUGACAUGAUGUCUUAGAAAGCACGGUCAAGAUUUUAUGGAAAAUUUGGGAGCUCUAUCGUAUCUGUGUUCUCUGUGAGACACAAAUUUUGGCCUGAAUUUUCUUUCCUUUCUUAGAUAGGUCUUAAAUCCUGCAGAAGGCUCUGCCAAAUAUUAAAGGCAACGUUUCAUUAAAAAUUAAUUAGGCAAUAUUAAAUGUGCAUCCCUAUUUUAGGACAUGAGUAAUCUAAAACAAUUUCAGUAAGUAUUUGUAUAUAUCUUUAAAAACCACAUGCUCUCAAAUAAUAGAAAUUAAACAAAGAGCAAAUCAAUGAGUCUAAAAUGCAUAAGGACUUGAAAUUAUAGUCAUUAUCGUGUAAUACAGUGUACAAGUUUUGCAGCACACCUAGCCUUGAAAUUGGGGGCAAGAAUGAAUUCUAGUCCAAUAAGCUGCCGCCUUUGUUGUGGGUGAUUUGAUAAAAACACAUGUUCAGGGUGAACAGCGCGUAAACUUGCCAAAUAAAAUACGGGAUGCCCAGUUAAAUUUGAAUUUCAGAUAAGCAACAAAUAAGUUUUUAGAAUAAGCGUGUCCCAAAUAUUGCAGGGGCCAUAUUUUUACUCAAAAAAAAAAUUUUUUAAGUGUGCAUUGUUUAUCUGAGAUUCAGAUUUUACUGGGCAGUCUGUAUUUUUAUUUGCUAAAUCUGGCAACCCUAACAGCAUGGAUUAUAGGACAUUCUGGAAAAAGCAAAAUGGGCUGGAUUAAUUAAUGUCUAUACGAGGCAUCACCCUUUCAUUCAUCCACUAAAUAAAUAUUCCUCCCUAGCUCCCUCAAUCCAUCCUCCCUCCUUCCUGUGUCCCCUCCCUGCAUUUCCUUCAUCUUACAACAAACAUCGGUUCGGCUUCUACUGUGCACCAGCCUCUGCUCAGCAAUGGCUACGUAAUGGGGAACCAGCAGACGUGCUGAUGAUAAUAGCCAAGUGUGCUGGCCCUCCGGCAAGCGCUUUCCAAACAUUAUUCCACUUUAGUCUCACAAGCAGCCCUAUAAGGUAGGGGUUGAUUCAACCGUGUAACAGGGGAGGAAAAGGAGGCAGAGAGAUUCUGCAUGAAUUCCUGCGAUCUCAUAACCUCGCUCAUUCAUUAUCACCUAUCCAGAAGGCUAUCACUCCAGGCCACGCGCCGCGCUAAUCCCAGGGAAUAAACCAGUGACCAGAACCAGAGCCUGCCUUUUAGGCUCGCCGUAGACAUGCAGAUGGGCAGCUCUGGGGUAAAUGCUCACUGGAGCACACAGGAGGGACAUCUGCCUGACUCCCAGGAGGAGGCCCAGGAGGGGGCAUGAUGGCUUUGGGGAGCACGCGAUGUUAGAGCUUCCUCUGGCUGCCCAGGCUCUCCGGCUUGGGUGCAAAUCCUAACUCAUCCACUCUCCCCAAGACAUGGCCCGCUUCUGGGUCUAUAAUAUGGGAGCACAGUUGUCCCCUCAUAGAAAAUUUGUGAGAAUUAAAUCAGCCUGUGCAAUUCCUUUCCAGAGAGCCUGGCAACUAGGAGGUUCACAGGAAAAGUCAGUGCUCCACAGCCUCUAUGGGAGGCCCGUGUUCUUCAGCCUCACCUCAAGUGCGUAGACGUGUGGCUUCUCCCCAGGUGCCCCCAUGGAAGCCCCCACUUGCUAUUAGAUCACCUCAAGUGUGUAGACGUGUGGCUUCUCCCCAGGUGCCCCAUGGAACCCUCAGCUUGCUAUUUGAUCACCUCAAGUGCGUAGACGUGUGGCUUCUCCCCAGGUGCCCCCAUGGAGGCCUCCACUUGCUAUUUGAUCAUAACGAUAGCAAAUGACAGCAACACUCCCACUGAGUGGCUUCUUCGGCGAGCCAGGCGUGGCGGCGAUCCAUGACAUUCUGAUUUUGCCACGAGCCGGAGGGUUUCGUGACUUGUCCACCAGCACAAGGGCAGUGGGCAGGUGGACUCAAGCCCGGGACCGCUCCACGCUCCUUGCCUACUUCUGCCUCUUGGCAUCCCCAUCCCUGCCGCCUUGCCUGAUGGUUUUUAGGUGCGACCCCUGGCCACGUGGACACCGAACAGCCCAGAAAAAGGCUGUACCAGUGGCACAAGAGCCAGAGCCCGGCAAGCCUCUCCCCUGAGCUUCUCCGAGGCUCCAGCUGCAAAGCAAAUAUUGAAAGUCGGGAGCCCGGGAGCGGCCCACGGGGUGAAGGGAGGCAUCCUCGCUCCCCCGGCUGCAACGGCCUCGCCUGGCCAGGCAAGUCACCUGUACCAUUCGGUGUCUAACCAAGGGAUGACCCGCAUUCCAGGGAAAAUAUACAUGUACCCUAUUUUUCUUUUUUUGAUCCUCAUCCUGACUCUCACUCGGGGGAAGCAAAAUGAGAAUUCAGAAACAGGGUCAGCUAUGAGACUAGCGUAUCUCCAACACAGCAAGAAACAAAUGUGUCAUCUGUUUUAAUGCUUCCAUUUUAUGCAAGCGAUCUGGCUUGCCUCCCUCGCACAUCGCCGGUCCCCCUCUCCCUUGCACUGUCCCCCUCAUCGGGACCUUCGAAAUCUCAACCCUGACGUGUAUAAUUUGGUGCUUUAAUAUAGAGUAACAUUAUUUUUCAUUUACUCCAAUCUGCCAUCAGUAUCAUCUUUUCAUUUAACCAGAUGCAAUUCUUUUUUCUUUCGCUAAAUUGAAAAUCCAUGAGCGACAGGGAGUGCAAUGUUUUAAUUAGCUCAUAUUUUUUAUAUGGAUUUAUGUCUUUAAAAUACAUUUGUGUAAUUCUUCAGCUAAAUUAAAAACGUCUUUCCGCGAAAGUGAGGAGGGGAAAAUAAAGAGCUGAAUUGUGUCAUUAGCUUAGGUAGAUACAGAUGGAGAGCAGGACCUCACGGGGUGGGGGGGACACCUAGGACGGCUAGAGCUUCGGCCUGGGCCCACUCUGAACUUGCCCCUUCAUUUAAGGAAGUCUUCCUCUAUAAAGAUUUCACGGAAACGGCUUGGGGAGGGAUUUUUUUUUUUUUAAGGCACCUAGUAAGUAAACAAGCAGCUACCUUCAACGAACUAAUUUGAAACCGAACCAGACGCCAAACAAAACAGGCGAAAAAAAAAAAAAAA